Small nuclear RNA from Gorilla gorilla gorilla (western lowland gorilla), 104 nucleotides. NCBI's taxonomy places the organism in Eukaryota, Metazoa, Chordata, Mammalia, Primates, Hominidae. The record is from Ensembl.
GUGUUUGCUUCAGCAGCACAUAUACUAACACUGGAACAAUACAGAGAUCAGUAUGUUCCCUGUGCAAGGACGACACGCAGAUUCAUGAAGCGUUCCGUGUAUUC